CAGUAGCCGCGGUAAUACGUAGGGUGCGAGCGUUAAUCGGAAUUACUGGGCGUAAAGCGUGCGCAGGCGGUUGUGUAAGACAGGUGUGAAAUCCCCGGGCUUAACCUGGGAACUGCAUUUGUGACUGGCGAGCUAGAGUAUGGCAGAGGGGGGUAGAAUUCCACGUGUAGCAGUGAAAUGCGUAGAGAUGUGGAGGAAUACCGAUGGCGAAGGCAGCCCCCUGGGCCAAUACUGACGCUCAUGCACGAAAGCGUGGGGAGCAAACAGGAUUAGAUACCCCAGUAGUCCCUGUCUCUUAUAA
RNAcentral lists this ribosomal RNA (301 nucleotides) under uncultured bacterium. RNAcentral describes it as "partial 16S ribosomal RNA". It matches the Rfam family "Bacterial small subunit ribosomal RNA", at positions 509 to 809 of the family's 1533-position model. The record is from RNAcentral.